RNAcentral lists this ribosomal RNA (610 nucleotides) under uncultured fungus. Its description in RNAcentral is "eukaryotic LSU rRNA". The stretch from base 241 to 394 matches the Rfam family "5.8S ribosomal RNA". The record is from RNAcentral. Lineage: Eukaryota; Fungi.
CUUGGUCAUUUAGAGGAAGUAAAAGUCGUAACAAGGUUUCCGUAGGUGAACCUGCGGAAGGAUCAUUGUCUACACCGCGCUCGUUCGCGGUCGGGGGGGCUUUCCCUUCGGGGGCGCCCUGUCUGAACCCUCUGUCAUUGUCGCACCUCGCGUUUCCUCGGCGGGCUCGCCCGCCAACGAGGACCCCAAACCAAACCCAUUGCAGUGUCUGCAGUAAACGUCUCACAAACAAUAAAUCAAAACUUUCAACAACGGAUCUCUUGGUUCUGGCAUCGAUGAAGAACGCAGCGAAAUGCGAUAAGUAGUGUGAAUUGCAGAAUUCAGUGAAUCAUCGAAUCUUUGAACGCACAUUGCGCCCUUUGGUAUUCCUUAGGGCAUGCCUGUUCGAGCGUCAUCUAACCCCUCAAGCACCGCUUGAUGUUGGGCGCCUGUCCCGCCUCCGCGCGCGGACUCGCCUCGAAGACAUUGGCGGCCUGUGUAUUGGCUACGAGCGCAGCAGACCCGCGCCUCGUCCCCUCUCGCGCAGGCGCCCAGCAAGCGCACUCCCCAUUUUUGACCUCGGAUCAGGUAGGGAUACCCGCUGAACUUAAGCAUAUCAAUAAGCGGAGGA